Molecule: transfer RNA, 76 nt
Filed under: Oscillospiraceae bacterium
Lineage: Bacteria; Bacillati; Bacillota; Clostridia; Eubacteriales; Oscillospiraceae
Description: tRNA-Pro
Rfam family: tRNA
About the family: Transfer RNA (tRNA) molecules are approximately 80 nucleotides in length. Their secondary structure includes four short double-helical elements and three loops (D, anti-codon, and T loops).
Source: RNAcentral
CCGGGUGUAGCGCAGUUGGUAGCGCGCUUGAAUGGGGUUCAAGAGGCCGCUGGUUCGACUCCAGUCACUCGGACCA